RNAcentral lists this ribosomal RNA (253 nucleotides) under uncultured bacterium. RNAcentral describes it as "partial 16S ribosomal RNA". It matches the Rfam family "Bacterial small subunit ribosomal RNA", at positions 524 to 776 of the family's 1533-position model. The record is from RNAcentral.
UACGGAGGGUGCGAGCGUUGUCCGGAAUCAUUGGGCGUAAAGGGCGCGUAGGUGGCCCGGUCAGUCAGUGGUGAAAGCGCGGGGCUCAACUCCGCGUCGGCCAUUGAUACUGCUGGGCUGGAGCACUGUAGAGGCAGGCGGAAUUCCGGGUGUAGCGGUGGAAUGCGUAGAGAUCCGGAAGAACACCGGUGGCGAAGGCGGCCUGCUGGGCAGUGGCUGACACUGAGGCGCGACAGCGUGGGGAGCAAACAGG